Molecule: long non-coding RNA, 979 nt
Filed under: Marmota monax (woodchuck)
Lineage: Eukaryota; Metazoa; Chordata; Mammalia; Rodentia; Sciuridae
Source: RNAcentral
AGCAUCCUCCGUGGGCCCCAGCAAUUUCCUUUUUAAAUUCCUCAAGCUGUAAUUUGAAGGGAAUAAUUUACCAGGUGACUAUUUCUAGGUUGGACAUCCUUUCAAACAAAUCCAGUAUGAAGAUGUUAACACAAGAACAGCCAAAUAGAUUUCUUCAUCAAGGAAUUCAGUUACUUCUCACAGGAGCAUAGGUUUUCCUCUAAGAUAUUUUACUGCUGUGAUUCCUGAUUUGUCUUUGGGAAAAAAAUAAGCACCCUUUAAACACACACACACACACACACACACACAUAUCCUGGUUUCUUAUUCAACACUUCUAGACUAAAUAUCGCUCUUUAAACCUUGAUUAUAUGUUUCAGCCAUCUUAGCAUGCAAAUCUGGAAUUUUUCCUACAUAGACGUGAGUUGUGAAAUCCUUGUACCUAGGAAAAUGAUGUCAGAUGUAAAACGAAACUCAGCCAAGUUCAAAUAAAAUGUGCAGGCCAGGAUAACACUGAGAGCCAGUUAGUGCACAAGGACUCUAAAGAUGAUCCUAGCAGACAUUUUGCGAUGAGUUGAGAGGAUUGGGACAGAACCGUCUGGGCUGUGACUCAUCCUCCAGGGUCAGGGGCAGACGUUUGUGGUGUCUGCAUUCAGUCUUUCAAACAUGUUUCACUGAAAUUCCACACUGCCACAUAUUUGUUGACAUAGAUAACACCAGAAUGGCACUCAUUGCGAUGAACCACAGCAUUCUGUCCACAUUUCCUUGUUCAAUAAUAGUGUCUAAUGAUUUCUUCUUGGCUCUUUGCUUUAGCAAUUUGUCGUUGUCCUGUUUGAGUACUGCCUGGAGGGGUGUUCACCCUGAAACUAAUGAAGCUCAAGUGUCAGUUAGAACCCUCUGACUAUUAGGAAUGGUUAAGAGUUGUACAAUACCCUGGGUUGAGAAGGAAGCCAAGUUGUAAUCAGAAAGAAUCAUUAAGAAUCAUUUCUCGGGCUGGGGAUGU